Molecule: ribosomal RNA, 301 nt
Filed under: uncultured bacterium
Lineage: Bacteria
Description: partial 16S ribosomal RNA
Rfam family: Bacterial small subunit ribosomal RNA
Source: RNAcentral
CAGUCGCCGCGGUAAUACGGAGGGUGCAAGCGUUAAUCGGAAUUACUGGGCGUAAAGCGCACGCAGGCGGUCUGUCAAGUCAGAUGUGAAAUCCCCGGGCUUAACCUGGGAACUGCAUUUGAAACUGGCAGGCUAGAGUCUUGUAGAGGGGGGUAGAAUUCCAGGUGUAGCGGUGAAAUGCGUAGAGAUCUGGAGGAAUACCGGUGGCGAAGGCGGCCCCCUGGACAAAGACUGACGCUCAGGUGCGAAAGCGUGGGGAGCAAACAGGAUUAGAUACCCCUGUAGUCCCUGUCUCUUAUAA